GAUGAACGCUAGCGGCAGGCUUAAUACAUGCAAGUCGAGGGGCAGCACAGGUAGCAAUACUGGGUGGCGACCGGCAAACGGGUGCGGAACACGUACGCAACCUUCCUUCAAGUGGGGGAUAGCCCGGGGUAAAACCCGGAUUAAUACCCCGUAACAUAGUGUGGUGGCAGUCACCGUACUAUUAUAGCUCCGGCGUUUGA
RNAcentral lists this ribosomal RNA (200 nucleotides) under uncultured bacterium. RNAcentral describes it as "partial 16S ribosomal RNA". It matches the Rfam family "Bacterial small subunit ribosomal RNA", at positions 28 to 222 of the family's 1533-position model. The record is from RNAcentral.